This 585-nucleotide ribosomal RNA is filed under the name Triticum aestivum (bread wheat). RNAcentral's name for it is "partial small subunit ribosomal RNA". Lineage: Eukaryota; Viridiplantae; Streptophyta; Magnoliopsida; Poales; Poaceae. The record is from RNAcentral.
AUGUUCGCUGCCCAGAGUCAAGCCCAAGCUAUCAAUACACGUAUUGAGCUCACAAAUCUUCAAAAAGGUAACAUGACUAUGGCCGAAUACCUUGGAAAGAUUAAAAGCCUUACCGAUGAAGUUGCCUGUACUGCUGCCGCGCUCUCCGAUCCGGAGAUCGUGUCAAAAAUCUUGGCCGGACUAGACAUGGAUUACAAUCCAGUCGUCUUGGCCCUUGCUGCCCGGGUUGAGCCCAUCACCGUUCAGGAGUUGUACAGUCAGCUCCUCAGCUUCGACACCCGCCUCAGUCUCCUUCAUGGCGCCAGCUUUCGCCAGUCCUCUGCCAAUGCCGCCUCGCAUGGACGCGGCCGUGGGCGCGGUCACCACGCGCAGCGUGGCGGUGGGCGUGGGCGUGGCAACGCUCAAGGCGACAGCGGCUACACCAACAACUACAACAACACCGGCGGCAGCAGCUACAACAACACCGGCAAUCGAUCAGGGGGUGGUGGCUUCAACAACAACAACAGCCACCGCCCUCCUCCUUCCUCCCGUGGUCGCCCUCGCUGUCAACUCUGCAAGAAGGCCGGCCAUGAGGUGAUGGACUGC